Thalassophryne amazonica is the source of this 188-nucleotide long non-coding RNA. RefSeq lists it as uncharacterized. The record is from RefSeq and is a predicted model, not a curated record. Lineage: Eukaryota; Metazoa; Chordata; Actinopteri; Batrachoidiformes; Batrachoididae. The transcript is spliced from 3 exons.
UGAUUCAAAUGAUUCAAACGUGUAUGGCACAGUUACUGGAUUCUCUGACUGCCUAUUACAGCUUUAGUACAAUUAAAGCUGCGAAGCACGUUUGGUUACAUUUAUGGAUGGUGCAUUCAUGCACUGUCAUAAAGACAGCUAUGUAAUCUUGUUGCAAAGUUGAAUACAAAAUAAAAAUAAUUUUAGAA